Molecule: ribosomal RNA, 491 nt
Filed under: uncultured bacterium
Lineage: Bacteria
Description: partial 16S ribosomal RNA
Rfam family: Bacterial small subunit ribosomal RNA
Source: RNAcentral
AGUGAACGCUGGCGGUAGGCCUAACACAUGCAAGUCGAACGGCAGCACAGUAAGAGCUUGCUCUUACGGGUGGCGAGUGGCGGACGGGUGAGGAAUACAUCGGAAUCUACUUUUUCGUGGGGGAUAACGUAGGGAGACUUACGCUAAUACCGCAUACGACCUACGGGUGAAAGCAGGGGAUCUUCGGACCUUGCGCGAUUGAAUGAGCCGAUGUGGAUUAGCUAGUUGGCGGGGUAAAGGCCCACCAAGGCGACGAUCCGUAGCUGGUCUGAGAGGAUGAUCAGCCACACUGGAACUGAGACACGGUCCAGACUCCUACGGGAGGCAGCAGUGGGGAAUAUUGGACAAUGGGCGCAAGCCUGAUCCAGCCAUACCGCGUGGGUGAAGAAGGCCUUCGGGUUGUAAAGCCCUUUUGUUGGGAAAGAAAAGCAGCAGGUUAAUACCCCGCUGUUCUGACGGUACCCAAAGAAUAAGCACCGGCUAACUUCGUG